GUUAAUGUUUUGCAGAUUUCGGCAAGGCUCCUGGGCCAUGGGUAUAGAAGUACAGUUUAAGCAGUGACAAAUAGAAAGCACAUGCUUAUUAAAGCUGCGUUACACAACUCAGAGCUGCUUUAAUGUCCUCUGCUCCUAAACCAACAAACCUGCGGGGACUUGUGCCCACCUGUGUGUGUCUUGGAAGAGGAAGUGUCCCUUUGGCUGGUGGCUGKGGAUGCUGGUGAGGACCAAGAGCCGCGAUUUCCCGGCCGGUGGCAGCUCCUGGUUUCCCUUCUCCCCGGGGUGAGGGAGAGGCCCUCGGGGGGCCGACGGCGCGGGAAGGCGGCAGAGGCACAGGGCACCGUCCUCCUCGUGCAGCGGGAUGCCU
RNAcentral lists this long non-coding RNA (370 nucleotides) under Dromaius novaehollandiae (emu). Its description in RNAcentral is "lncRNA (ENSDNVG00000002232.1)". Lineage: Eukaryota; Metazoa; Chordata; Aves; Casuariiformes; Dromaiidae. The record is from RNAcentral.